AUUGAACGCUGGCGGCAGGCCUUACACAUGCAAGUCGAGCGGCUGCAGGGAGCUUGCUCCUGGAUUCAGCGGCGGACGGGUGAGUAAUGCCUAGGAAUCUGCCUGGUAGUGGGGGAUAACGUCCGGAAACGGGCGCUAAUACCGCAUACGUCCUGAGGGAGAAAGUGGGGGAUCUUCGGACCUCACGCUAUCAGAUGAGCCUAGGUCGGAUUAGCUAGUUGGUGGGGUAAAGGCCUACCAAGGCGACGAUCCGUAACUGGUCUGAGAGGAUGAUCAGUCACACUGGAACUGAGACACGGUCCAGACUCCUACGGGAGGCAGCAGUGGGGAAUAUUGGACAAUGGGCGAAAGCCUGAUCCAGCCAUGCCGCGUGUGUGAAGAAGGUCUUCGGAUUGUAAAGCACUUUAAGUUGGGAGGAAGGGCAGUAAGUUAAUACCCUGCGGGGAUGACGGUACCAAAAGAAUAAGCACCGGCUAACUUCGUG
RNAcentral lists this ribosomal RNA (484 nucleotides) under uncultured bacterium. RNAcentral's name for it is "partial 16S ribosomal RNA". It matches the Rfam family "Bacterial small subunit ribosomal RNA", at positions 30 to 507 of the family's 1533-position model. The record is from RNAcentral.